Molecule: transfer RNA, 65 nt
Filed under: Bathothauma lyromma
Lineage: Eukaryota; Metazoa; Mollusca; Cephalopoda; Oegopsida; Cranchiidae
Description: tRNA-Arg
Source: RNAcentral
AAACAAGAAAUGAUGUAUCAUAUAUGAUUUCGGCUCAUACUUAGAUGUUUUAACAUCCCUGUUUA